GUAAUAUCAUUACAACUAAACUAUGAACUGUUAUGAAACUAGUAGGUAAUAUUACACUUUAUUGAAGUGAAUAUUAAAUAAACAUUGCAACUUCUAUGAAACAUAAGGAACAGUUGCAGCGACGAUAACAUAAAAGGACGUGUGUCAUUUUGACUAACAUUUUUGAUACGAGUUAUACAACUUAACGUAAAAUUUCAUGUUUUAAAAUUAAAUUUGAUAAAGAAAAUGAAACUAGAGGCUCUAAAGAGCCUGUGUUGCUCACCUUGGUCUAUGUGAAUAUUAAACAAUGGACACAGAUGGAUUCAUGACAAAAUUGUGUUUUGGUGAUGGUGAUGUGUUUGUAGAUCUUACUUUACUAAACAUUCUUGCUGCUUACAAUUAUCUCUACCUAUAACAGUACUUUCUGUGGAAAAUGUUAUUGAAAAUCUUCAAAUUUUAAGAAAAUUGUUAAAAAUUGACUAUGAAGGGCAAUAAUUCCUUAGGGGGUCAAUUGACUAUUUUGG
Molecule: long non-coding RNA, 503 nt
Filed under: Mytilus galloprovincialis (Mediterranean mussel)
Lineage: Eukaryota; Metazoa; Mollusca; Bivalvia; Mytilida; Mytilidae
Source: RNAcentral